This is a long non-coding RNA of Triticum aestivum (bread wheat), 781 nucleotides long. RefSeq lists it as uncharacterized. The record is from RefSeq and is a predicted model, not a curated record. The transcript has 3 exons. NCBI's taxonomy places the organism in Eukaryota, Viridiplantae, Streptophyta, Magnoliopsida, Poales, Poaceae.
GGCUUGAUUCCUUCUGCGUUCUGCCCCUCCAGCGCCUCCUCCUCUGUUCCUCUAUCCCUAACCCUAACCCAGGCGACGGCGCCGUUGCCCGCGGCUCUCCCUUCACCGAUGGCGCCAUCUCGUCCGAGUCCGAGCUGGAGGAGCACAUGUACGUCAGGGAGGCAGCAAGGCCAGCACGCCGUCGGUCCGUCCUUCCCUAGUUCCUCACCGAGCGCCACGAAGAGGAAAAGAUAAUGGUGAAGGAGAAGGGGAAUGAGAAGGGAAAGGGUGAUGGUAAGGAGAAUGCGAAGGCGAAGACAAAGGAGAAGAGCGUGAAUUACUUAAUUAGGCAAGAUUCGGCGCUGCCUCCAGCUCCGCAACCUGCUCCGAGCUGCCUCAUGCAUCUACUAUUGUGGUAGAUGACGAGGAGAAGGAGGACGACGAGGACGAGGACGUGGACAUAGAUGAGGACAAGGACAAGGAUGAUGAGGAAUAUGAGGAGCAAAAUCUGUUUAUUGUCCCGCCACAAGCGAGUGCUGAUAUGUCGGAUAACACCUUAUGUUUGUGGAUGUGAUAUUUGUGCUUAACCUGAUUUGUGCCAUCUUUCAUCUCAAAAUCAGUUUGUGGAUGUCCAAAAAACAAAGGAAAUGUUGUCCAAAUGUAGUUAUUCUUGCUGUCCAAAUUUAGUUAUUCUUGCUGUCCAAAUUUAGUCCAGUGCUUUCUGUCCAAUUAGUUAUUUGUGGCUGUCAUAUUCAUGCUGUUUUGGUCCAAAAUUUGUGGCUGUUUGUGGCUGUGAUCAAUG